UUCGUGUUCCGGAAUGGGUUAGGAAAGAAGGCCUCUGGUGUCCUUUCUAACUGAAAUUUUGUGAACUUCUAUACUGUGGUGUGAGGGCAAGCAUUCCUGUGGAGGGAGGGGUCUUUAGGUGCAGCUGGCCUCCUUUUCUUCCUUCUAUUAGAAGACAGACAAACUAUCCCAGGAAAUCAGCAAUGUCAACAACAACAACAAGGAACAGCUUCUGAUGGAGGAGAGGCUAACUCCGGAGAAGCUUGACAGUAUCCAGAAGCAGCUGGACAGGUUGACCCAGCCUGAGGCCAAGACUGAAGCCACAGCUGUCACCAGUGUGGAUGCCUUCCUGUGCAGACAUUUGACAUUUUAGCUGAAGAGGGUGCUAGAAUGUGUUGGCCACAGCAGCAUCAGAGGAUCCAAGGAGACAGGCACAGAAGAGGCUGCUGAAUGGGAAAGUGCAUUGUUACCACGGUGGGUGAGGGAGAGGUAGACACAAAAAUAUUCAUCUUCUAUCUGUGUAAGAGCUCAGAUAAACAAAAAGAAUCAAAGACACUUAGGAGACAGUGACCUAAGGAAGCAGAGAAGAAGAUCUGGAAGAUAGAUGCUGGCAGCAAGGAUUAAUAAAAGAGAAUAAAGGGAGACAUAAAUGGUAGGGAUGUUACUGCUAACUGGCGCUGGGUCCCUCCUUAUUCUUUUCUGCCCUCCUCGUCUGUCAUGGAGCUUCCCAGGACACAGAAGAAAGAUCAAGAAGUCAGGCCUGAUCCUGGCAAACAUCACUAGGUUCAUCUUCAUCCUAGAGGUUCCCAGAGAGUUUGGCCACCUGCCAUUUAAGUGAGAUGAAGCUUUGCCUGCAUCAAUUUGGAGAGACUUUGUAGCCUGGCCUUUGAGAUGCCUACCUGAAUAA
Molecule: long non-coding RNA, 886 nt
Organism: Phascolarctos cinereus (koala)
Lineage: Eukaryota; Metazoa; Chordata; Mammalia; Diprotodontia; Phascolarctidae
Source: RefSeq, a predicted model, not a curated record